RNAcentral lists this ribosomal RNA (852 nucleotides) under uncultured bacterium. RNAcentral's name for it is "bacterial SSU rRNA". It matches the Rfam family "Bacterial small subunit ribosomal RNA", at positions 29 to 873 of the family's 1533-position model. The record is from RNAcentral.
UUGAACGCUGGCGGUAUGCUUUACACAUGCAAGUCGAACGGCAGCAUGGGUGCUUGCACCUGAUGGCGAGUGGCGAACGGGUGAGUAAUAUAUCGGAACAUGUCCGGAAGUGGGGGAUAACGUAGCGAAAGUUACGCUAAUACCGCAUAUGCCCUGAGGGGGAAAGGAGGGGAUCGUAAGACCUUUCGCUUUCGGAGUGGCCGAUAUCAGAUUAGCUAGUUGGUGAGGUAAAGGCUCACCAAGGCGACGAUCUGUAGCGGGUCUGAGAGGAUGAUCCGCCACACUGGAACUGAGACACGGUCCAGACUCCUACGGGAGGCAGCAGUGGGGAAUUUUGGACAAUGGGCGCAAGCCUGAUCCAGCCAUGCCGCGUGAGUGAAGAAGGCCUUCGGGUUGUAAAGCUCUUUCAGCCGGAAAGAAAUCGCACUUGCUAAUACUAAGUGUGGAUGACGGUACCGGAAGAAGAAGCACCGGCUAACUACGUGCCAGCAGCCGCGGUAAUACGUAGGGUGCGAGCGUUAAUCGGAAUUACUGGGCGUAAAGCGUGCGCAGGCGGUUUUUUAAGACAGACGUGAAAUCCCCGGGCUUAACCUGGGAACUGCAUUUGUGACUGUCAGACUAGAGUGUAGCAGAGGGGGGUAGAAUUCCACGUGUAGCAGUGAAAUGCGUAGAGAUGUGGAGGAAUACCGAUGGCGAAGGCAGCCCCCUGGGCUAACACUGACGCUCAUGCACGAAAGCGUGGGGAGCAAACAGGAUUAGAUACCCUGGUAGUCCACGCCCUAAACGAUGUCAACUAGGUGUUGGGGAAGGAGACUUCUUUAGUACCGCAGCUAACGCGUGAAGUGACCCGCC